UCGAUCGAUCGAUCGAUCGGCUGCAGUGUCCCAAUGUGAUUAAGCACACUGGUAGUCGGAUGGGCAGAUCUUGCCGCAGUUGUUGAGGAUGAGGCUGAGGUCGAUGGGGAUGUUGAGGUUGAGGCCGAGCACGUUGGCCUUGAUGGCGGUGCAGAGGCAGACGGCGGCGUCGAGGUCGACGAGGCCGUCGAGCAGCGAGCAGCAGGGCUCGUACGGCGCCACCGCGCCGAUCUUGGCCUUCACGAGGCCGAGCACGUUGGCGCACACGUGCAGCUUCAGCGCGUCGCGCGGGCACGACCCGGCGCCGCCGCCGGGCGUCGGCGGCCUCGGCGCCGGCGGCUUCGGCUUCGGCGUCGGCGGCUCCGGGCAGUAGGUGCAGGCGCUCGCCACGGCCACCACCAGGAGGCUCACCGCUAGAACGAGCGCUGCCUUCGCCGCCAUUGCUGCAAUUGAUCAAGCAAAAGCUAGUGAAGAAGAUGAGAGUACUAGGUAGCUAGUAGAUCAGCUCGAGGUUCUUGCUUUGUGUGUGCUUGGAGUGUGCAUGGCGAGUGGUAUUUAUAGUGGCCAUGGAGGAGGAGGAGAUGAUGAGAAGAAGAUGUGUAGAUGGAUGAGUACGUGAAUGGGGGCCUAGAUGAUCAUGCGUGUGGUACCCAAUCGGCGAAUCAAGAAUCGAUCGACCGUGAGUAUGGAUGAUUGAUUGGAUGAACUGUAUUGGGAUUGUGAUUUAUAUUCUCCGUGUGUCCUAGUUGCAAUAUAUUCUUUUCAUCACAAUAUAUUGCUAGAUUUUCCCGGAUCAAUUAAUACUAGUGUAAUACAUGGGUACUGUACAAUUAGAGCUCGUACAAUUAUGGUUUCAGAUCAUCUAGCUAAGGUCCGUAACUUCUGUUUGGGUUUAUAUAUUGAUCAGUAUAUAAGUUUUUUUUAGACUGGUCACCGGAGGGCGAAAUACCCACCUGAAUAUAUUACUUCCAACGAUCUUACACAAGGUGGGUUUCGCCUAUGCAAGCGCAGGAGCCCUAGAGGAUAAUAGGAAAAAAUACACGGCCGGGGACACAGAGAAGAGAAUACAAACACGUCAUAACCUUCCUACCAUGCGCACACACAGCGGCAAAGAGAUAAACUGAGAAGCUUUGACGUUUGCCACCUGCAAAAACACCCAAUCAAAUUUCAAAUCAAACUAAUGCUAGAACCCUAAAUCGACAUCAUCCACUUCACAUGCAGACUUAAACACCAGGAAUUGAAGGUGCCAGAGGGUCUCACUGCCACAUGUAUGCUGGCUUGGUUCAUUGGCAGUCGAAAGACUGUGGUUAUUGAAGACCACCCACACAAAAGGUAGGUCUCAUAGCUAAAGUAUAUAAGUUAGAAUGCCUAAACUUAAACAAAAAAGCAGAUUUUAAAUUAACCUUCUAUUAAACUUGUUGUAAGUAACCGUAGCUCUCUAAGAAGUUGAAAACUAGAUUUGAGUAGCUUUUUUUAAAAAAAAAACUUUUUAUUGAUUUGGAUUUACGUCUCGACUUUUAAACUUGCUACUUGAAAACCGCAUGCUCUAGCCAAAGAGCUACCAUAAAAGCCAAGGCCAAAAAAAAAGAGACCUAAAGUUUUAGCUAUGUUUCUAUAUAUAUAUGGAGCAUGGACAACUGGUUCAAUUCACAUCUCAAUCUAACAGCUUAAUUAUAUAUCAGCACAAAAGGUAGGCAAGAAGUUUGGCUCUUUUGCUGGAAUAAGGCAGAUAUAUAUGAGGGCCCAAACCAUUCCACUUGCAUGCUGAACAAGCUAGGUACGUUAGGUGGGGAACUACCUCUUGGGUGUGUGUGGUUUGUGGUGUUGUACAUGACUUCACCUGCAUGCCAAGCCACCAAAGGGUGCAUAUAUUGAAUGCAAUUCAAUAUUUUAUAAGAUUAUUCAUGCAUGAUGUUAGUUUGGGCCUAUCUAUUAAUAUGAGUGUGAGACAUGGUGUGGGACUGUGCAUGGGUGUGUAUUUCCCUCAUUUCUGCAUUCUCGAAAGGUGUCAUGCAUUGUGCUCAUCACUUAGAGUCGUUUCAAAUUACAGACUUUGAAACUUGGAAACGUAUCAUAUGCACACAAGCCAGCUUUCUUUUAUAUACAUCAUGCAUAUCAACUAACAAAACUUCAUCAAUUUUUUUUAAAAAAAAUUGUACAUGUGCUUUCAGUAGUAUCAUAUUUAUAUGUAAAGUCUCAUCUUCAAAUUCACUAUAUAUAUGAAGCACCAAAUAAGACAAAAUUAUGACCGAUUUAUUCCCUUGAAACUACCAGAAAUUAUAGUUUUUUUUGUUACGGCUAGAGCAUAAUGAAUUUGAGAUUAAGACUUUACACAUAUGUGUAAUAUAAUGCUAUUGGAAGUAUAUGUACAAUUUCUUUCUCUAGAUUUUUUAAAUUUUGUUAAUUAGUAUGCAUGGUGUGUACAUGGAAAGGUUAUGUGUACAGGAUACGUUCCCUUAAAACUUAUACUACCCGUGCGGCAUGUGAGUCAUCCUAGUCAUACUCUCCCUUGGGGGUGGACCUUCCCUUGUUGCAAGCUGUGCCAUCCACCAUAGCUACUUGCCAGCAAGGGAAUCCCAUGCAUGCCUUAUGUGUUGAACAUGCUAACCUUGGAAUCCCAUGCAUGUAUUUUUCUUUGAGGUACUGAAUAUACUAACCCUUGAAACAUAGCGAUGAAUUAGUGCAUAAUUAAUUAAGUAUUAAAAAAACUAGAUUUUGAAAGCAAAAUUGAAUGUAUAUACAAUUCUUGCAUCUCUUUUCAUGAGUACAGGUAUAUUUUAUAUACAACUGUACCAGUCAAAGUAUACUCUUAUAACUUAAGAGAUAUUUAGGUACAAUAACUUUAGUGCAAAAUUUCACCUAGUACCGAAGGUACCUGCUCAAGUACGGUAGAAUCACUCAUAAUCUAAGUCUACCAAUCUACCGUGACCAAACAUUUGCAUAAUAAUAGCUAUUGGCCGGAAUGAGAGUAUAAUAGCUUUUAGAAUGAAUAUGGUGACUCCAUUUCGCCCUCUCUCGUAAAUUAUCUUUUUAUAUAAUUGCAAACCAAAAGCUUAACAUUCAUGAUGACACAACAAGAGACGUUAGAUAUCUCCCCUCAAGCGUGUCAAUUUAUUGUGUGCAAUUAUUGUUCCCUAUUAAUUGCUAUAAAUAUAUAAUCUAGCUUAAUUAUUUAGUACCACUAAAUAUAGCUAUUUGCUAAUUAUUCUUGCCGAUUUUUUUUUUAAAAAAAUUAACAUUUCAUCCUGAUUGUUCACUAUCAGUUAUCACAGCAAUGUGCGAGCUAGCUUUCAGCUGAUCUCAAAGCAUACGAUCGAUGAAAAGUAGAGCUUCAUUUUAUUGGCGAAUCAUUCAUGGGAAUCAAACAACACAUGGAACCAAGAGAUAGAUCAAGAACUAAAGUACUCCAAACAACAUCAAGAUACAGUAGUACUCUCAAGCUCGCAGCCAUGGUCAUGGAGAAACAAGUGCAACAACCAGCUCUAGUGCACGCACUUGAAGUCGGAUGGGCAGAUCUUGCCGCAGUUGUUGAGGAUGAGGCUGAGGUCGACGGGGAGGUCGAGCUUGAUGCCGAGCACGUUGGCCUUGACGGCGGUGCAGAGGCAGACGGCGGCGUCGAGGUCGACGAGGCCGUCGAGCAGCGAGCAGCAGGGCUCGUACGGCGCCACCGCGCCGACCUUGGCCUUGACG
Molecule: long non-coding RNA, 3690 nt
Filed under: Oryza sativa (Asian cultivated rice)
Lineage: Eukaryota; Viridiplantae; Streptophyta; Magnoliopsida; Poales; Poaceae
Description: long non-coding RNA (OSAT_LNC001891)
Source: RNAcentral